CGUAGGUGGCAAGCGUUGUCCGGAUUUAUUGGGUUUAAAGGGUGCGUAGGUGGUCUAUUAAGUCAGUGCUGAAAUAUCCCGGCUUAACCGGGAGGGUGGCAUUGAUACUGAUGGACUUGAGUAAAGUUGAGGUUGGCGGAAUUGACGGUGUAGCGGUGAAAUGCUUAGAUAUCGUCAAGAACACCUAUUGCGAAGGCAGCUAACUAAGCUUUAACUGACACUGAGGCACGAAAGUGUGGGGAUCAAACAGGAUUAGAUACCCUGGUAGUCCACACUGUAAACGUUGAUUACUCGCUGUUGGCGAUACACAGCCAGCGGCUUAGCGAAAGCGAUAAGUAAUCCACCUGGGGAGUACGCCGGCAACGGUG
Molecule: ribosomal RNA, 368 nt
Filed under: uncultured organism
Description: bacterial SSU rRNA
Rfam family: Bacterial small subunit ribosomal RNA
Source: RNAcentral